GCUUGGAGUUUGCUUCCUUUGAGUGUUUUCUAGUGAGACUUGAUCUAUGGGAAACAGAUGCUUCCUCACCACAGAAACUUUUGCAAAAGAUGUAGUUUGUGGAACUUCUGGAAUUCCACAGAAUUUAGAGCAGCUUCAAAACUAUCACGUGUAAUUUCUUUAUGCAACUAUCUGUCUAUAGAGACGGGAAGAGUUCUGAGGACCCAUCCUUCUUCUAUGUCUGAAAGUGCAGAUAUAUGACAAAACAGCGCAGCUCCUUCUCAUUCGGAAACUUCAUCUUGCUCAUGUGACUCAUGAGAUACAUUCAGUCACGCAAGGGGAGAGGAAGAUGUCAGGAUGCAGGGAAUUAGAACAUCAGAGAAGAAAUUGUUGGAAUAUUUUUAUCCCUGUUCCCCUCCUUUCUCAGAGGAGCAUGGCAUUGUUCUGGGUGAAACUGGUUGGUUCAAUUGUACUGGUUGGUUCAGCAGUAGUCCUGUAUGCAAAAGCAACAAAGCUUUUCUGUGUUAUAUGAACAGAGAUUAAUGUUGAAAUGAACUGGCAUUCUUAAAUGGCUCUAAAUUUUGAAAUUGUUGUUUUAGAGUUGCUCAAGCAUCUCAUAAUUCCAUUGGCAAAUAAUCUUGACUGGGAAUAAACAUAAACUUAUUUUUAAGUAUCUGUCCAAAAUCACUUGUUAAAACAUAUGCAGAAAUAGGGUAAAAUUUUACUUUUGUAAUAAGAUUAUCGUAAGACUUUGCAUGAAUUAGGAUGGUUAUAAUCACUUGAAAAUUAAAAAAUCUCCUGAUGAGUUAAAUUUCUAGUGUAGUAAACAUGUACUUAAACAUCUUCAUUUUCCUUCACAUCAUGGCUGUUUUGCUUUUUGAGAAUAUUUUGCCUGAAAGUCUUCAUAUACACAUAAUAAUUUUCCAGUCUGUAUUUUCAC
This is a long non-coding RNA of Phasianus colchicus (ring-necked pheasant), 919 nucleotides long. RefSeq lists it as uncharacterized. Lineage: Eukaryota; Metazoa; Chordata; Aves; Galliformes; Phasianidae. The record is from RefSeq and is a predicted model, not a curated record.